RNAcentral lists this ribosomal RNA (254 nucleotides) under uncultured bacterium. RNAcentral's name for it is "partial 16S ribosomal RNA". It matches the Rfam family "Bacterial small subunit ribosomal RNA", at positions 524 to 776 of the family's 1533-position model. The record is from RNAcentral.
UACGUAGGGUGCGAGCGUUGUCCGGAAUUACUGGGCGUAAAGAGCUCGUAGGUGGUUUGUCGCGUUGUUCGUGAAAACUUGGGGCUUAACCCUGAGCUUGCGGUCGAUACGGGCAUCACUGGAGUUCGGCAGGGGAGACUGGAAUUCCUGGUGUAGCGGUGAAAUGCGCAGAUAUCAGGAGGAACACCGGUGGCGAAGGCGGGUCUCUGGGCCGAUACUGACGCUGAGGAGCGAAAGCGUGGGGAGCGAACAGG